RNAcentral lists this ribosomal RNA (253 nucleotides) under uncultured bacterium. Its description in RNAcentral is "partial 16S ribosomal RNA". It matches the Rfam family "Bacterial small subunit ribosomal RNA", at positions 524 to 776 of the family's 1533-position model. The record is from RNAcentral.
UACGGAGGGGGCUAGCGUUGUUCGGAAUUACUGGGCGUAAAGCGCACGUAGGCGGAUGCUUAAGUCGGGGGUGAAAUCCCGGGGCUCAACCCCGGAACUGCCUUCGAUACUGGGUGUCUGGAGGUCGAGAGAGGUGAGUGGAAUUCCGAGUGUAGAGGUGAAAUUCGUAGAUAUUCGGAGGAACACCAGUGGCGAAGGCGGCUCACUGGCUCGAUACUGACGCUGAGGUGCGAAAGCGUGGGGAGCAAACAGG